AAACUAUACUAAUUAGUCUAAUUGGUAUAUAGUUUCUUUCUACUUUUUCUAAUGUUUUUAUAAAAUAUAACUUAUGGCAUAAAAGUGUAAGAAUAAUAGUUUUAAAAUCAUUAAAAAAAAUUUAGAAAAAACAUAUAAGUUCUUAUAGUAGAAAAGAUGCAGCUGUGUUGCCAUUUAAAGGAUUUCCUUUAACCGAGUCAGAAUUUCAAGCUAAAGUAAUGAAAUACUUGAUCAAACAAGAUCAAAGACUUGAAAAUAUUGAGAAAGUUCUACUAAAUUUAACAUCAUCUUGAGUUGGAGUAGAUAAAGAAGUAUCCCAAAUAAGCAAUUUGGAAGAUUUACAUAAUUUAGAGGAAAGAAUUGCAAAUAUAGAAGAAUUUAAUAAACUGGUCUUAUCUCUGUCUUCUGCUGGGGGUAAAGAUGUUAAAGAUGUUGUCAAGAACAUUAUGGAAAGGUUUGUAUUGUCUUACAACUUUUGAAUUUCUUGUGUUGUUUUUAGUCCUCAAUAGUCUUUAUAGUGAAAA
This is a long non-coding RNA of Hydra vulgaris (swiftwater hydra), 524 nucleotides long. RefSeq lists it as uncharacterized. The record is from RefSeq and is a predicted model, not a curated record. Lineage: Eukaryota; Metazoa; Cnidaria; Hydrozoa; Anthoathecata; Hydridae.